UGGGGAAUUUGGACAAUGGGCGAAAGCCUGAUCCAGCAAUGCCGCGUGUGUGAAGAAGGCCUUCGGGUUGUAAAGCACUUUUGUCCGGAAAAGAAAUCCUUGGCUCUAAUACAGUCGGGGGAUGACGGUACCGGAAGAAUAAGCACCGGCUAACUACGUGCCAGCAGCCGCGGUAAUACGUAGGGUGCAAGCGUUAAUCGGAAUUACUGGGCGUAAAGCGUGCGCAGGCGGUUUGCUAAGACCGAAUGUGAAAUCCCCGGGCUCAACCUGGGAACUGCAUUGGUGACUGGCAGGCUAGAGUAUGGCAGAGGGGGUGAGAAUUCCACGUGUAGCAGUGAAAUGCGUAGAGAUGUGGAGGAAUACCGAUGGCGAAGGCAGCCCC
RNAcentral lists this ribosomal RNA (382 nucleotides) under uncultured bacterium. Its description in RNAcentral is "partial 16S ribosomal RNA". It matches the Rfam family "Bacterial small subunit ribosomal RNA", at positions 356 to 729 of the family's 1533-position model. The record is from RNAcentral.